GGCGGACGGGUGAGUAACGCGUAGGAAUCUACCUAGUAGAAGGGGAUAGCCCGGGGAAACUCGGAUUAAUACCGUAUACCUCCUUCGGGAGAAAGAAGGCCUCUCUUUGAAGCUUUCGCUACUAGAUGAGCCUGCGUAAGAUUAGCUUGUUGGUGAGGUAAAGGCUCACCAAGGCGACGAUCUUUAGCGGGUCUGAGAGGACGAUCCGCCACAUUGGGACUGAGACACGGCCCAGACUCCUACGGGAGGCAGCAGUGGGGAAUAUUGGACAAUGGGCGCAAGCCUGAUCCAGCCAUACCGCGUGUGUGAAGAAGGCCCUAGGGUUGUAAAGCACUUUAAGUUGGGAAGAAAAGUUAUUGGUUAAUACCCAAUGACCGUGACAUUACCAUCAGAAUAAGGACCGGCUAAUUCCGUGCUAGCAGCCGCGGUAAUACGGAAGGUCCAAGCGUUAAUCGGAAUUACUGGGCGUAAAGCGCGC
Molecule: ribosomal RNA, 478 nt
Filed under: uncultured Gammaproteobacteria bacterium
Lineage: Bacteria; Pseudomonadati; Pseudomonadota; Gammaproteobacteria
Description: bacterial SSU rRNA
Rfam family: Bacterial small subunit ribosomal RNA
Source: RNAcentral